RNA transcript from Ailuropoda melanoleuca (giant panda), 2200 nucleotides. It is a transcript of the gene named cytochrome P450 3A8-like, with no coding region annotated. The transcript is spliced from 3 exons. Lineage: Eukaryota; Metazoa; Chordata; Mammalia; Carnivora; Ursidae. The record is from RefSeq and is a predicted model, not a curated record.
CCAGUCCCAAGCUGAGAAAUAGGGAAAAGAUUUCCAUGUGACUGUACCAUUUCUUCACAAUAACAAAUAGAUUCCUAACGUUUUCUUAAAAAACAUUCCUAAUAUUUUUUUUAAAAGUCACCGUAUCAAAACAUCUGUUUUUCCAGAUGCUCAUGCUGUACAUAUAUGUAAAGACAGAACUGGUCUGAGGCAACAUGCAGUUUGCCAGGCUAUCUGGCUACCUUCCACCAAUCCAAUUCUACUCUGCACAGCUGAGGAGAAUGUACUAGGUGUUUUGUUUUUUUGUGUGUGUAUGUGUGUUUUGUGUUUUUUUAAUCAGUAAGAGAAAAAUCUCUUUUUUAUUUUUUAUAAUAAUUUUUUAUUAUGUUAUGUUAGUCACCAUACAGAGAAUGUACUAGGUGUUAACUGUGUGUAUUCCUCUAGAGGUGUAAUUUCUCUACCAAAUUAUUCCAUACCAUGUUUACAUUGAAAGGAGAUGGAAUGUAAAGGCUGGAAAGCACAUCAGGUGGCUGAGUGCCUCCUUCAGCCUUGCAGGAAGCUAGGCAUUUGGAAUAAAUACCUGUUGAGCAUCUAGCAUAUGGCCUGCUACUAAGUAGGCAGUCACUAAAUAUUUGGUGAGUAGUUCAUACCUAUUGAACACAUUUGCCACAAACUUUGAGACCUACAAAACUUACGUAGGGCAAAAUGUGUUUUUCUCUGACUCUUUUUCUCUGACUCUAGUUUUUUGGUCCAGUGGGAUUUAUGAAAAAUUCCAUCUCUCUGUCUGACGAUGAAGAAUGGAAGAGAAUACGAACAUUGCUGUCUCCAACCUUCACCAGUGGAAAGAUCAAAGAGGUGGUGGUGUAUUUUGUGUGUAGAUGCUCCCCAUCAUUGGCCAGUAUGGAGAUAUGUUGGUGAGGAACCUGAGGAAGGAGGCAGAGAAAGGCAAACCUGUCAACUUGAAACACAUCUUUGGGGCCUACAGCAUGGAUGUGAUUACUAGCACAUCGUUUGGAGUGAACAUUGAUUCCCUCAACAACCCACAACAUCCCUUUGUGGAAAAUGCCAAGAAUCUCUUCAGAUUUGAAUUCUUUGAUCCAUUUUUGUUCUUAAUAUGUAUGUACACUAUUGUUUUUUCUUUUCUUUUCUCUUCCCUUCCUUUUUUUCCUUCCUUCCUCCCUCCCUUCCUUCACUUUUUCCUUUCUUUCUACAACAGCUUUAUUAAGAUGCAAUUCAUUUACUAUAUAUAUUACCCUUUUAGAACAUAAAAUUCAGUGGUUUUUAUGGCCUCAGUGUCUUAUCAACGAAUGAAUGUAGAAAAUGUGUGUACACACACACACACACACACACACACACCCCUACAUAGUGAAAUCUGUUGCCAUAAAAGGAAGGGGAUCCUGUAUUUGUGACUAUAUGGAUGGAACUUGAGGGCAUUAUGCUAAGAGAAAUAAGUUAGAGGAAGACAAAUACUGUAUGAUCUUACUUCCAUAUGGAACCAACCCCCCUCCCCAAAACCAACCUCAUACAAAAACAAGAUCAGAUUUGUGGUCACUAGAGGCAGGAGUUGGGGGGUGGGAAUUGAAUGAAGGUGAUGAAAAGGUACAAAGUUUCAGUUAUAGUAUAAACAAAUACUGGCUUGUAAUAUACAACAGGAUGAGUAUGGUUAACAUUGCUAUAUUUUGUGUUUGGAAGUUGCUAAGAGAGUAGAUCCCAGUAGUUCUCAUCACAAGGAUUAAAAAUGUCUGUUUUUGUAAAUACAUGAGAUGAUGGACAUCUUAUUGUGGUAACCAUCUCUUGAUACAUGUAUGUCAAAGCAUUAUUCAGUACACCUUAACUUGUACAAUACUGUAUGUCUGUAAACUCAAACGGAAAAAACUGGUUUUGGCGCUUUCAAAGAUAUGUGCAACCAUUACUGUAGUCAAUUAUUAGACUAUUGUUGUCAACUCAGAAAUCUAUAUAUAUAUUUUUUUUUUUUUUUACUAUCACGGCCUACUUUCCUUAGUCCUGAGCAACCAGUAAUCUACUUUCUGUCUUAAUAGAUUUGCCUCUUCUGGACUCUUCAUACAGAUGGAAUCAUAGAACAUCUGAUCUUUGUGGCUCCUUCCUUCAUUUAGCAUCAUGUUUUUAAGAUUCAUCCUUGUUGUAGCAUGAAUCAGUACUUUAUUUCUUUUUAUGGCCAAAAAUAUUCCAUUAUGUGGACAUACUGCAUUUUAUUUAUCCU